GGGAAACUUCAGUGACAUCUCUACAACCUUACAGAGAAUGAAUAUAGAAUCAGAUUUAAAUAUCCCACUUUCCUCAAGGUGUACAGCAAUGCAAUUCAGUAAAAUGUGGAAAAGAGGAAGUGGAAAGAAGCUCCAAGAGCAAAACUCCAUCCAAAGUUAUGGGGGCUGGCUGGGCAAGACUGAAGUCGAAAGAGCACGCAUUCGGGAAGGGAUGGCCAGAAAUGGGCAGGACUCUCGUGAGCUCCGUCUGAAGCUUGAGGUCCACAGGAAGAGCAUGGGGACAGAAGAGCACGCAGG
RNAcentral lists this long non-coding RNA (297 nucleotides) under Capra hircus (goat). RNAcentral describes it as "lncRNA (ENSCHIG00000000988.1)". Lineage: Eukaryota; Metazoa; Chordata; Mammalia; Artiodactyla; Bovidae. The record is from RNAcentral.